UGGAUAGCUCAGCUGGUUAGAAUGUGGUGCUUAUAAUGCCAAGGUUUGUAGGUUCGAUCCCCAUAUAGGACAG
Podarcis lilfordi (Lilford's wall lizard) is the source of this 73-nucleotide non-coding RNA. Lineage: Eukaryota; Metazoa; Chordata; Lepidosauria; Squamata; Lacertidae. The record is from the annotation of a GenBank genome assembly.